Molecule: long non-coding RNA, 159 nt
Organism: Seriola aureovittata
Lineage: Eukaryota; Metazoa; Chordata; Actinopteri; Carangiformes; Carangidae
Exons: 3
Source: RefSeq, a predicted model, not a curated record
ACUAAAGCAGAAAUUGAGUCUCACAAGCAGCAAUUGCAGUUACAAAAGUGUCAUGAUGGUGACCGACAGGCUGAUGCUGUGGUGCUGACGGGGGCGUCAGAUCAGGAAACACCUAAAAGGAAACUCAGAGCAAACACAGUCUACAGCAGCAUAAAUCCC